GGAUGUGAGUGCGAUCUGGCUGCGACAUCUGUCACCCCAUUGAUCGCCAGGGUUGAUUUGGCUGAUCUGGCUGGCUAGGCGGGUGUCCCCCUCCUCCCUCACCGAUCCAUGUGCGUCCCUCCCGAAGCUGCGCGCUCGGUCGAAGAGGACAACCUUCCCCCCCCCCCCCGGAGGAGAGGACCGGUCUUCGGUCAAGGGUAUACGAGUAGCUGCGCUCCCCUGCUAGAACCUCCAAACAAGCUCUCAAAGCUAGCCAAAGAAUAGGUACUUUAUUGUCUAAUGUAAUCCACAUUUGGAUGCAGAAAGGAUUUGUUCU
Myotis lucifugus (little brown bat) is the source of this 316-nucleotide unclassified non-coding RNA. Its record names the gene 7SK. It matches the Rfam family "7SK RNA". From Rfam's summary of the family: 7SK was discovered as an abundant small nuclear RNA in the mid-70s but a possible function has only recently been suggested. Lineage: Eukaryota; Metazoa; Chordata; Mammalia; Chiroptera; Vespertilionidae. The record is from Ensembl.